AAUGAACGCUGGCGGUAUGCCUAACACAUGCAAGUCGAACGACAGCAUCGGAUCUAGUGGCUCACGGGUGCGUAAAGUGGCGGAAGCUUCCCUUAGGCUCCGGAUUACACCCCGACAUGGGUGCUAAUAUCGGAAAAUUUACUCGGAUACCACAUACAACCUACUUGGGUAGGCCGGCGAUCUUCUGACCUUGUGCUUUGGUAUGAGCCUAUGUUGGAUUAGCUACUUGGCUGGGUAAAAGGCUAGCAAUGCGACAAUCCGUAGCUGGUCUGAGAGGAAGAUCAGACACACUGGGACUGGGACACGGCCCAGACUCCUACGGGAGGCAGCAGUGGGGAAUAUUGGACAAUGGGCGAAAGCCUGAUCCAGCAAUGCCGCGUGAGUGAUGAAGGCCUGAGGGUUGUAAAGCUCUUUUACCCGGGAUGAUAAUGACAGUACCGGGAGAAUAAGCUCCGGCUAACUCCGUG
Molecule: ribosomal RNA, 467 nt
Filed under: uncultured bacterium
Lineage: Bacteria
Description: partial 16S ribosomal RNA
Rfam family: Bacterial small subunit ribosomal RNA
Source: RNAcentral